UAGAGUUUGAUCCUGGCUCAGAUUGAACGCUGGCGGUAUGCUUAACACAUGCAAGUCGAACGGUAACAGGCCUUCGGGCGCUGACGAGUGGCGGACGGGUGAGUAACGCGUAGGAAUCUACCUAUUAGUGGGGGACAACGUGUGGAAACGCACGCUAAUACCGCAUACGCCCUACGGGAGAAAGGAGGGGAUCUUCGGACCUUUCGCUAAUAGAUGAGCCUGCGUUGGAUUAGCUAGUUGGUGGGGUAAAGGCUCACCAAGGCGACGAUCCAUAGCUGUUCUGAGAGGAAGAUCAGCCACACUGGGACUGAGACACGGCCCAGACUCCUACGGGAGGCAGCAGUGGGGAAUAUUGGACAAUGGGCGCAAGCCUGAUCCAGCAAUACCGCGUGUGUGAAGAAGGCCCUAGGGUUGUAAAGCACUUUCAAUUGGGAGGAAAACCUGCCGGUUAAUACCCGGUAGCUUGACAUUACCUAUAGAAGAAGCACCGGCUAACUCCGUGCCAGCAGCCGCGGUAAUACGGAGGGUGCGAGCGUUAAUCGGAAUUACUGGGCGUAAAGCGUGCGUAGGCGGUUCGUUAAGUCAGAUGUGAAAGCCCCGGGCUUAACCUGGGAACGGCAUUUGAAACUGGCGGACUGGAGUUGAGUAGAGGGGAGUGGAAUUUCAGGUGUAGCGGUGAAAUGCGUAGAUAUCUGAAGGAACACCAGUGGCGAAGGCGACUUACUGGACUCAAACUGACGCUGAGGUACGAAAGCGUGGGUAGCAAACAGGAUUAGAUACCCUGGUAGUCCACGCUGUAAACGAUGUCAACUAGCCGUUGGGUCUCCUUGGAGACAUAGUGGCGCAGCUAACGCAUUAAGUUGACCGCCUGGGGAGUACGGCCGCAAGGUUAAAACUCAAAGGAAUUGACGGA
RNAcentral lists this ribosomal RNA (913 nucleotides) under uncultured bacterium. RNAcentral's name for it is "bacterial SSU rRNA". It matches the Rfam family "Bacterial small subunit ribosomal RNA", at positions 1 to 917 of the family's 1533-position model. The record is from RNAcentral.